This 505-nucleotide ribosomal RNA is filed under the name uncultured bacterium. Its description in RNAcentral is "partial 16S ribosomal RNA". It matches the Rfam family "Bacterial small subunit ribosomal RNA", at positions 28 to 507 of the family's 1533-position model. The record is from RNAcentral.
GACGAACGCUGGCGGCGUGCCUAAUACAUGCAAGUAGAACGCACAGUCUAUACCGUAGCUUGCUACACCAUAAACUGUGAGUUGCGAACGGGUGAGUAACGCGUAGGUAACCUGCCUGGUAGCGGGGGAUAACUAUUGGAAACGAUAGCUAAUACCGCAUAAUAUUGAUUAUUGCAUGAUAAUUGAUUGAAAGAUGCUAUUGCAUCACUACCAGAUGGACCUGCGUUGUAUCAGCUAGUAGGUGAGGUAACGGCUCACCUAGGCGAAGAUACAUAGCCGACCUGAGAGGGUGAUCGGCCACACUGGGACUGAGACACGGCCCAGACUCCUACGGGAGGCAGCAGUAGGGAAUCUUCGGCAAUGGACGAAAGUCUGACCGAGCAACGCCGCGUGAGUGAAGAAGGUUUUCGGAUCGGAAAGCUCUGUUGUAAGAGAAGAACGAGUGUGAGAGUGGAAAGUUCACACUGUGACGGUAUCUUACCAGAAAGGGACGGCUAACUACGUG